AACGAACGCUGGCGGCAGGCCUAACACAUGCAAGUCGAGCGGACCCUUCGGGGUUAGCGGCGGACGGGUGAGUAACGCGUGGGAACGUGCCCUUUGCUUCGGAAUAGCCCUGGGAAACUGGGAGUAAUACCGGAUACGCCCUUUUGGGGAAAGAUUUAUCGGCGAAGGAUCGGCCCGCGUUGGAUUAGGUAGUUGGUGGGGUAAUGGCCUACCAAGCCGCCGAUCCAUAGCUGGUUUGAGAGGAUGAUCAGCCACACUGGGACUGAGACACGGCCCAGACUCCUACGGGAGGCAGCAGUGGGGAAUCUUAGACAAUGGGGGAAACCCUGAUCUAGCCAUGCCGCGUGAGCGAUGAAGGCCUUAGGGUUGUAAAGCUCUUUCACCGGGGAAGAUAAUGACGGUACCCGGAGAAGAAGCCCCGGCUAACUCCGUG
Molecule: ribosomal RNA, 433 nt
Filed under: uncultured bacterium
Lineage: Bacteria
Description: partial 16S ribosomal RNA
Rfam family: Bacterial small subunit ribosomal RNA
Source: RNAcentral